UAUUAAGCCGGCAUAUAAAAUAUCAAAAUAAAUUCAAUCAAUGAUAAUAUUAAUGAAUAAAAUCAUAAGGAAUUUAACAAGUAUCAUAUACUUUAUAAAUUAUAAAUAAAAGAUAAAAGCAUUGAUGACUCAAUUGUGUCAAUAAUAAUUAAUAAUGAUAAAAAAUAAUUAUAUUGAUACACCCCUGUUGGGUAAAAUGGACUCGUCCAGGUUCCCUGUAUCCCCACCGAUUAAAUUUUCACCGGCUCUUGCCAUAUAUGGGCAUAAAACGUGAGACGCGCUCCGAUUGGUCGUCGCGUCAGCAACUGACUAGUUCCCCAAAUACCGCUUCAAACUGUACGAUAUGAAUAAAGUGAAUACGAUAUAUAAUACUGGAUGUUUGAUAAAUAAAGACAGAAAACUUACACGAAGGAGAGAUACAGGCAAUGACUCUACUACGAGGAAUAUAUACUUAUAUAUAUUACUUGAUUAUAACUAUAGCGUUUCCAGACUGACUCACUACUGUCGGACGUUGUUGGGGAAAAAAAUAUAACCAUUUGUACAGCUUCAAAAUUAUCUGAUGACAACGGAUACACAUAUAUUAUUUUUCUGCAUUACACACUUAGUCAUUAGAUAUUUUAUUGAUAUCAACCUCCAUUGACUCAUCGGGAUUUUACCCUGAAAAAAUUAAAAUUAUUUUUUUUAUAAGAUUUCAGUUAAUAACUUGUAAGUUGGGUCAUAUAAAUCGAUUUUUAUCAAUGAAGUAGACGAGGAGCGGAUGAGAAGGACAAGAUAAAUAUAUAUAGACUUGUAUAAUUAAUCAAUUGUCAUGCCAAUGGCACAACCAAAGCCGUAUAGUAAGGCCAGAAGUCUACACUAGUUUGUCAAGGUCGAGGUUUUUAAGCAUCACCGGCCGUAAGAUUUCUAGGACAAGCUUGUCGCGUCAUAUCAGAGAAUACUUAUAUUGUAUAUAUAUGUAUGUACAAGUUAUUUGUACCGAUUUGGUAUGAGCUUGUUUAUUAUUACGACCGUAAGAAUUCUAUCGAGUCGGUGACGAAAUAAACUAACAAAUAAUAUUAAGUAAUCACAGAUGAAUAAAAUUUAUAAUUAUAUUUUAAAGAAUGUGGCCUUGCACCUUAAUAUGAGUUUUCUUUUAAUCGAUUGGCCAAGUUCAAUGUCGUGUAGGUCGAAAGUUGAAUGGCCCAAUCUAGACGUAGACAUGCAACCACGCACCCAAGAUUUUCCCAGCUACUGAUAUAUAUAUAAUGCGACUACGCCCAAAAUACUUAAAUAUAGCAACUCGAUCCAAUUGCAUUUUAAUAAUAAAAAGAAAAAAACAACAAAACGCUUAUGGUUUAUAUAAAAAGACAAUUAGGAGUGUCAAGGUUAUUCUGUAAGCUAAAAUAUAAACAUAUGUGCUUCAGUAAUUUUUAAAUUAUAAGCUUUAAUUAAAUUGUCCUCAUUU
This is a long non-coding RNA of Microplitis mediator, 1444 nucleotides long. RefSeq lists it as uncharacterized. Lineage: Eukaryota; Metazoa; Arthropoda; Insecta; Hymenoptera; Braconidae. The record is from RefSeq and is a predicted model, not a curated record. The transcript is spliced from 3 exons.